Molecule: microRNA, 23 nt
Filed under: Homo sapiens (human)
Lineage: Eukaryota; Metazoa; Chordata; Mammalia; Primates; Hominidae
Description: hsa-miR-6859-3p
Source: miRBase by way of RNAcentral
UGACCCCCAUGUCGCCUCUGUAG